This 834-nucleotide ribosomal RNA is filed under the name Triticum aestivum (bread wheat). RNAcentral describes it as "partial small subunit ribosomal RNA". Lineage: Eukaryota; Viridiplantae; Streptophyta; Magnoliopsida; Poales; Poaceae. The record is from RNAcentral.
AUGUUGUCUGCAUCCUCAAAACCAAAGGUUGCCAUCAUUCGUGAAGAAGGGAGUAACAGUGACAGGGAAAUGUCUGCUGCAUUCCAUGUUGCUGGUUUUGAACCGUGCGAUAUCACAAUGUCAGAUCUCUUGAACCAAAAGGCUUCUCUAACGGAAUUCCGUGGGAUUGCAUUUGUUGGUGGAUUUAGCUAUGCAGAUGUUCUUGAGUCAGCAAAAGGUUGGGCUGCAUCUAUCAGGUUCAACCAGCCCCUCAUACAGCAGUUCCAGGAGUUCUACAAUAGGCCAGACACAUUCAGCCUUGGGGUGUGCAAUGGGUGUCAGCUCAUGGCUCUUCUUGGUUGGGUACCAGGACCCGAUAUUGGAGGCUCGCUUGGUGCAGGUGGAGACAUGUCCCAGCCAAGGUUCACUCACAAUGAAUCUGGCCGUUUUGAAUGUCGGUUUAUCAGUGUGGCCAUAGGGGAUUCUCCUUCUAUAAUGUUCAAAGGUAUGGAAGGCUCUACUUUGGGCAUUUGGAGUGCUCAUGGUGAAGGGAGAGCCUUAUUCCCAGAUGAAAAUGUCUUAUCUGAUGUUGUCAAUUCAAAUCUGGCCCCUCUGAGGUACUGCGAUGAUGCUAAUAAUGUCACAGAGGUUUAUCCUUUCAACCCUAAUGGCUCUCCGCUUGGUAUUGCGACCCUUUGCUCCCCUAAUGGAAGACACCUUGCUCUGAUGCCACACCCGGAGCGUUCCUUUAUGAUGUGGCAAUACCCAGGGUAUCCCAAGGAGUGGCAGGUUGAGAAGGGUGGUCCCAGUCCUUGGUUGCGCAUGUUCCAGAAUGCAAGAGAAUGGUGUUCAUAG